This 545-nucleotide ribosomal RNA is filed under the name uncultured bacterium. RNAcentral's name for it is "bacterial SSU rRNA". It matches the Rfam family "Bacterial small subunit ribosomal RNA", at positions 777 to 1320 of the family's 1533-position model. The record is from RNAcentral.
AAUAGAUACCCUGGUAGUCCACGCCGUAAACGAUGAGUGCUAAGUGUUAGGGGGUUUCCGCCCCUUAGUGCUGCAGCUAACGCAUUAAGCACUCCGCCUGGGGAGUACGGUCGCAAGACUGAAACUCAAAGGAAUUGACGGGGGCCCGCACAAGCGGUGGAGCAUGUGGUUUAAUUCAAAGCAACGCGAAGAACCUUACCAGGUCUUGACAUCCCAUUGACCACUAUGGAGACAUAGUUUUCCCUUCGGGGACAACGGUGACAGGUGGUGCAUGGUUGUCGUCAGCUCGUGUCGUGAGAUGUUGGGUUAAGUCCCGCAACGAGCGCAACCCUUGUUCUUAGUUGCCAUCAUUUAGUUGGGCACUCUAAGGAGACUGCCGGUGACAAACCGGAGGAAGGUGGGGAUGACGUCAAAUCAUCAUGCCCCUUAUGACCUGGGCUACACACGUGCUACAAUGGACGGUACAAACGGUUGCCAACCCGCGAGGGGGAGCUAAUCCGAUAAAACCGUUCUCAGUUCGGAUUGUAGGCUGCAACUCGCCUACA